Non-coding RNA from Ilex paraguariensis (yerba mate), 115 nucleotides. NCBI's taxonomy places the organism in Eukaryota, Viridiplantae, Streptophyta, Magnoliopsida, Aquifoliales, Aquifoliaceae. The record is from the annotation of a GenBank genome assembly.
GUGAUCAUAUCAAUACUACUGCACCAAAUCCCAUCAGAACGUCGCAGGUAAGCGUGCUUAGGCGACAGUAGUACUAGGAUGUGUGACCCUCUGGAAAGUCCUCGUGUUGCACCCC